RNAcentral lists this ribosomal RNA (700 nucleotides) under uncultured Pedomicrobium sp. RNAcentral's name for it is "bacterial SSU rRNA". It matches the Rfam family "Bacterial small subunit ribosomal RNA", at positions 28 to 776 of the family's 1533-position model. Lineage: Bacteria; Pseudomonadati; Pseudomonadota; Alphaproteobacteria; Hyphomicrobiales; Hyphomicrobiaceae. The record is from RNAcentral.
AACGAACGCUGGCGGCAGGCCUAACACAUGCAAGUCGAACGCCCCGCAAGGGGAGUGGCAGACGGGUGAGUAACGCGUGGGAACCUACCUUACGGUCGGGAAUAGCUCAGGGAAACUUGGGGUAAUACCGGAUACGCCCUUACGGGGAAAGAUUUAUCGCCGUUAGAUGGGCCCGCGUAGGAUUAGCUAGUUGGUGAGGUAACGGCUCACCAAGGCGACGAUCCUUAGCUGGUCUGAGAGGAUGAUCAGCCACACUGGGACUGAGACACGGCCCAGACUCCUACGGGAGGCAGCAGUGGGGAAUAUUGGACAAUGGGCGCAAGCCUGAUCCAGCCAUGCCGCGUGAGUGACGAAGGCCUUAGGGUUGUAAAGCUCUUUUGGCGGGGAAGAUAAUGACGGUACCCGCAGAAUAAGCUCCGGCUAACUUCGUGCCAGCAGCCGCGGUAAUACGAAGGGAGCUAGCGUUGUUCGGAAUCACUGGGCGUAAAGCGCACGUAGGCGGAUAUGUCAGUCAGGGGUGAAAUCCCGGAGCUCAACUUCGGAACUGCCUUUGAUACAGCAUAUCUCGAGUCCGAGAGAGGUGAGUGGAAUUCCUAGUGUAGAGGUGAAAUUCGUAGAUAUUAGGAAGAACACCGGUGGCGAAGGCGGCUCACUGGCUCGGUACUGACGCUGAGGUGCGAAAGCGUGGGGAGCAAACAGG